RNAcentral lists this ribosomal RNA (441 nucleotides) under uncultured bacterium. Its description in RNAcentral is "bacterial SSU rRNA". It matches the Rfam family "Bacterial small subunit ribosomal RNA", at positions 954 to 1392 of the family's 1533-position model. The record is from RNAcentral.
GCAUAACGCGAAGAACCUUACCUGGCCUUGACAUUGAUAGAAUCUGCUAGAGAUAGCGGAGUGCCCUUCGGGGAGCUUGAAAACAGGUGCUGCACGGCUGUCGUCAGCUCGUGUCGUGAGAUGUUGGGUUAAGUCCCGUAACGAGCGCAACCCUUGUCCUUAGUUACCAGCACGUUAUGGUGGGCACUCUAAGGAGACUGCCGGUGACAAACCGGAGGAAGGUGGGGAUGACGUCAAGUCAUCAUGGCCCUUACGGCCUGGGCUACACACGUGCUACAAUGGUCGGUACAGAGGGUUGCCAAGCCGCGAGGUGGAGCUAAUCUCACAAAACCGAUCGUAGUCCGGAUCGCAGUCUGCAACUCGACUGCGUGAAGUCGGAAUCGCUAGUAAUCGCGAAUCAGAAUGUCGCGGUGAAUACGUUCCCGGGUCUUGUACACACCG